GUGUCAGCAGCCGCGGUAAUACGAAGGGGGCUAGCGUUGUUCGGAAUUACUGGGCGUAAAGGGCGCGUAGGCGGCCGUUUAAGUUAGGUGUGAAAGUCCUGGGCUCAACCUGGGGACUGCACUUAAUACUGGAUGGCUUGAAUUCGGGAGAGGAUAGCGGAAUUCCCAGUGUAGAGGUGAAAUUCGUAGAUAUUGGGAAGAACACCGGUGGCGAAGGCGGCUAUCUGGACCGACAUUGACGCUGAGGCGCGAAAGCGUGGGGAGCAAACAGGAUUAGAUACCCUGGUAGUCC
Molecule: ribosomal RNA, 292 nt
Filed under: uncultured bacterium
Lineage: Bacteria
Description: partial 16S ribosomal RNA
Rfam family: Bacterial small subunit ribosomal RNA
Source: RNAcentral